RNAcentral lists this small RNA (29 nucleotides) under Bombyx mori (domestic silkworm). RNAcentral describes it as "ovarian small RNA-37005". Lineage: Eukaryota; Metazoa; Arthropoda; Insecta; Lepidoptera; Bombycidae. The record is from RNAcentral.
UUCACGCUGAGACGGUGGGAACCGCAGCC